GUGGCUGCUGCAUGGCUUUCUCAGCUGCUGCAUUUUCAGGCCCUUCCAGUGGCUCAGCGUUCAGCAUCAUGUUGGCCAGAGCCACUUUGGGCUGCGCUGGGGUCUUUGUGCUGAAUGUCCCCGUGUAGGUCACUUUGGGCUGGGAUUUCAGGUAGCCGGUAAUGAAGACGAGGUAUUUCUGUCCACUUCUGAGGCCCCCAAUGACACGUUCGGUGCCGGUUACGUUUUGCUUCAGCACAAGAGAGUGGUCGUGUGCUAAGGUGAUGGCAAGAUCAAACACGUAGGCGUUGUGUGGCUCAGGGCUGGCCCAGCGCAGCCUGGCGCUGUUCUCGGUGACAUCUGUGAUCUGGAUGUCAUUCAUCUUUGCACCUUGUCUUCUCCUGCCGCUUGCUGCUGCAGCUGUGGUGCUCGUUGUGGUGCGGCUGGUGGCUUUGGUGUUGGCAGCAGUGCUUCCUUGGCUCUGUACAGUAGCAUUCACCUGGACAGUAGUGCUCUCUGUGGGCCUCUCCGUGGCUCUGGUUUGGGCCGUGGUGCUGGCAGUGGUGGUCUUGGCAUGGGCACUGGUGCUUGCAGCAGGCUUGAAGGUGGUGCUUAGUGUGGUGGUGGUGCUUAUGGUUUGGGUUACGGUUCCAUUGGGGGCUAUAUAUACUGCUUUUUGUCCAGUGUGCCCAGGGCUCUUGGGUGUUUGAUCAGCCUGGAGCCACUUGCACUGUUUCCUUAUUUCUG
Molecule: long non-coding RNA, 726 nt
Filed under: Gallus gallus (chicken)
Lineage: Eukaryota; Metazoa; Chordata; Aves; Galliformes; Phasianidae
Source: RNAcentral